RNAcentral lists this ribosomal RNA (1381 nucleotides) under uncultured bacterium. Its description in RNAcentral is "bacterial SSU rRNA". It matches the Rfam family "Bacterial small subunit ribosomal RNA", at positions 45 to 1401 of the family's 1533-position model. The record is from RNAcentral.
UGCCUAACACAUGCAAGUCGAACGCGAAAGUUCCCUUCGGGGGACAAGUAGAGUGGCGCACGGGUGAGUAACACGUAGGUAAUCUACCUUCGGGUGGGGAAUAACCCAGGGAAACUUGGGCUAACACCGCAUAAUGCAGCGGCACCACAUGGUGACAGUUGUUAAAGCGGGGGAUUUUCGGACCUCGCGCCUGAAGAGGAGCCUGCGGCGGAUUAGCUAGUUGGUAAGGUAACGGCUUACCAAGGCGACGAUCCGUAGCCGGCCUGAGAGGGCGGUCGGCCACACUGACACUGACAUACGGGUCAGACUCCUACGGGAGGCAGCAGUCGGGAAUUUUGGGCAAUGGGCGAAAGCCUGACCCAGCAACGCCGCGUGAAGGAUGAAAUCCCUCGGGAUGUAAACUUCGCAAGAAUGGGAAGAAUUAGUAGGGGCUAAUACCCCCUAUGAUGACGGUACCAUUUGUAAGCUCCGGCUAACUCCGUGCCAGCAGCCGCGGUAAUACGGGGGGAGCAAGCGUUGUUCGGAUUUACUGGGCGUAAAGGGCGCGUAGGCGGUAGCACAAGUCAGUUGUGAAAUCUCCGGGCUUAACUCGGAAAGGUCAACUGAUACUGUGCGACUAGAGUGCAGAAGGGGCAACUGGAAUUCUCGGUGUAGCGGUGAAAUGCGUAGAUAUCGAGAGGAACACCUGCGGCGAAGGCGGGUUGCUGGGCUGACACUGACGCUGAGGCGCGAAAGCCAGGGGAGCGAACGGGAUUAGAUACCCCGGUAGUCCUGGCCUUAAACGAUGGAUGCUUGGUGUCUGGGGUUUUAUAGUCCCCGGGUGCCGCAGCUAACGCGUUAAGCAUCCCGCCUGGGGAGUACGGUCGCAAGACUGAAACUCAAAGGAAUUGACGGGGACCCGCACAAGCGGUGGAGCAUGUGGUUCAAUUCGACGCAACGCGAAGAACCUUACCUGGGCUCGAACGGCUCACGAACGGCUGUGGAAACACGGCUUUCCCGCAAGGGACGGGAGUCGAGGUGCUGCAUGGCUGUCGUCAGCUCGUGUCGUGAGAUGUUGGGUUAAGUCCCGCAACGAGCGCAACCCUUGUCCUGUGUUGGCAUGCCCGCAAGGGCGCAACUCGCAGGAGACCGCCAGCGAUAAGUUGGAGGAAGGUGGGGAUGACGUCAAGUCCUCAUGGCCUUUAUGUCCAGGGCUACACACGUACUACAAUGGCCGGUACAAUGCGCAGCGAACUCGCAAGGGGGAGCCAAUCGCAAAAAACCGGUCUCAGUUCGGAUUGCAGGCUGCAACUCGCCUGCAUGAAGCUGGAAUCGCUAGUAAUGCCAUAUCAGAACGAUGGCGUGAAUACGUUCCCGGGCCUUGUACACACCGCCCGUCACA